AACGAACGCUGGCGGCGCGCCUAAUACAUGCAAGUCGAGCGAGAAGACGUAGCAAUACGUUUGUAAAGCGGCGAACGGGUGAGGAAUACAUGGGUAACCUACCCUCGAGUGGGGAAUAACUAGCCGAAAGGUUAGCUAAUACCGCGUACGCUCCUUGGACUUCGGUUCAGGGAGGAAAGCGAUACCGUGGGUAUCGCGCUCUUGGAUGGGCUCAUGUCCUAUCAGCUUGUUGGUGAGGUAACGGCUCACCAAGGCUUCGACGGGUAGCUGGUCUGAGAGGACGAUCAGCCACACUGGCACUGCGACACGGGCCAGACUCCUACGGGAGGCAGCAGUAAGGAAUAUUGCGCAAUGGGCGAAAGCCUGACGCAGCGACGCCGCGUGGGGGAUGAAGGUCUUCGGAUUGUAAACCCCUUUCGGGAGGGAAGAUGGAACGAGCAAUCGUUCGGACGGUACCUCCAGAAGCAGCCACGGCUAACUUCGUGCCAGCCGCCG
This 495-nucleotide ribosomal RNA is filed under the name uncultured bacterium. RNAcentral's name for it is "bacterial SSU rRNA". It matches the Rfam family "Bacterial small subunit ribosomal RNA", at positions 29 to 517 of the family's 1533-position model. The record is from RNAcentral.